Juglans microcarpa x Juglans regia is the source of this 3027-nucleotide RNA transcript. It is a transcript of the gene named transcription factor GTE4-like, with no coding region annotated. Lineage: Eukaryota; Viridiplantae; Streptophyta; Magnoliopsida; Fagales; Juglandaceae. The record is from RefSeq and is a predicted model, not a curated record. The transcript is spliced from 6 exons.
CUCCCAACCUCACUCCCCAAGUGUAAACUCUGACUCGCUGCCGAGCCUGGGAGCAGGAAGCCUGGGAUUGGUUUCGCAGCAGUCGCAUUCUAGGGCUUUUCUGCAACUAAUUCGAACCCUGAUUCGGUCAUCUUCUUUCUCCGCAGCUAAAAAUCCUAACUUUUGUGUAUAUUCCCCUCCGAAAACUCUUACUCCGUACUUUUCCAAAUCCACCCAAACCUCUAAAUCGUAGGGUUUUCAUAUCACCCGUCAAUUUAGGUUUUUUUUUUUAUUUUUAAACUUCCCCUACGUAAACGAUCCGAAACCAAAGCUUUAAUCAGAUUCAGACUGCUGGUUUUGUGUUCAAAUCAGGGUUUUUUAAGCUUAUUUACAUGUAUGGCUUCGGGGUUAUUACGGGAUGACGAAGCGAGAGAGAAGAAGCGCAGGUGGGAGGAGAGCAGCAAGGUCUAUAGCCGAAAGAACCACAAGAAACCCAAGAAUUACGGUAAUGCCACCCAGCUGUCCCCCUCUCAAACCCUAGCCACCACUACCGAAGAUAACAACUCCUCUCAGCCGCCGUGGACGUUCGAUUCGGUGGCGUCAGACGACUCUUCAAGCCAGAAUCUGCAUGAACCGGUUUCACAGAGCUGCCGUGAGCUCGCCAAGGGGAAUGGCUUGCCGGAUUAUGCCAGAUUCGAGAACCGGGUUAGGAUUAGCGUGAAAUCAAGGUCGAAGAGUGAGGUUAGAGAGCUUAGGAGGAAGCUAGCGAGUGAGCUUGACCAUGUGAGAAGCUUAAUGAAGAAGCUUGAAGUUGUGGUUGAUAAAGUUGGAACUGCAAUGAGGGUCAAUUCAGAGGCGGGUUCGAAUUCAAAACCGUUUCGGAGUUUGACCGUGUCCGCGGCGGAGAAGAAUGAGCAACGAAUUGGUGAAUCAGCGGUGAAAGAGAAGAAGACGCCCAAGGCGAAUCAGCAUAAUCAGAAUUUGGAUCUCGUCUCGGGGAAGGAGAGCAAAAAGAAGUUGAAAUCCAAUGGAGGGAAGAGGGACGGUGGGGGUGAAAUGGGAUUGGGGUUUGGUAAAGAUUGGUAUUUGAGUCCGGUGUUUAAGAGUUGCGCCGAUUUACUCUCCAAGUUGAUGAAGCAUAAGUUUGGUUGGGUGUUCAAUAAGCCGGUGGAUGUGAAGGGUCUCGGGCUUCGUGAUUAUCAUACUAUUGUCAAGCACCCAAUGGAUUUGGGAACGGUGAAGAAUAGGCUGAAUAAGAAUUGGUAUAAGUCCCCCAGAGAGUUUGCAGAGGAUGUAAGACUCGCAUUUAAUAAUGCCAUGUUGUAUAACCCGAAAGGGCAGGAUGUUCACUUCAUGGCUGAGCAGCUUUCCAAAAUAUUUGAGGAGCAAUGGAAACCUAUAGAGUCUGAGUUCAAUCGUAGUAGGAGAAUUGAAAUGGGUCAUGAUGCAGGUUUGCCAACACCCACUUCAAGAAAGGCUCCCAUGCUGGCUCCAGCUCCAGCACCAGCACCAGCUCUACCCCCCGUGCCUGCUCCACCACCAGUGGAAACGAGGACUUCAGAGAUAGCAGAAUCUAAAACCAUGCCUGUGGAACCUAAGUUGAAACCCGGCAGUCAUAGUCAGGUUGUUAGGAGCCCGGUUCCGAAGAAACCUAAAGCUAAGGAUCCUGACAAAAGGGAUAUGACUUAUGAGGAGAAGCAGAGGCUCAGCUUAAACCUUCAGAGUUUGCCUUCAGAGAAGCUAGAUAAUAUUGUCCAGAUAAUUAAGAGGAGGAAUCCAGGUCUCUUUCAACAAGAUGAUGAAAUUGAAGUGGACAUAGCCAGUGUUGAUCCAGAAACACUUUGGGAAUUGGAUAGGUUUGUGACCAAUUAUAAAAAGAGUUUGAGCAAGAAUAAGAGAAAAACUGAAAUUGCUCUUCAGUCAGAGGCAGAAACCGACAAUGCUACCCAGGAGACGAAUUUAGCACCAGCCGUCGCUGAGGCUCCUAAAGAAACUGAAGCAGUUGAAAACAAUGUUACCAAAUUGACCCCAGUUCAAGGAGAAAAGCAAGGUGAUAACGUGAGUGGAUCGAGUAGUUCCAGCAGUUCUGGCAGUGACUCUGGAUCCUCUUCAAACGAUUCCCACAGUGAUGGUUCCUCUGCAACUGGGUCAGAUGCACAUUGACCUUGAACGUCAAAGGAUCCAGGUGAGCCCAACAGGCUGCCCGGCUCAUUGGAUGAAUGGCUAGUUGCAUAACAAUAGAGGCCAAAGAGGUGCUUGGAGAAUCAAAAGACCAGUCAUCGUCUGAGAACACUUGAUGGUGGAACGAAGGGGUUCAGACAGCAGUUAGGUUAAAGAAAGAUAAUGGACAAACAAUGAGGUUUGUGAAAAUUACAGAGUGAUGAAGAAGAAUCCAAAACAGGUAGCUAGUGAAGUCAAGGAAAAGGACAACAUGAGAGUUGAGUCACUAUAAAUGUGUCAAAGAUGAAGGUCAAAGAGUUUUAGCAAGUGAAGUAGAUAUUAAAGAAUGAUGGAGCUUUUUUAUAAUCUUCUUUAUAGAAGUAAUAUAGCAGAUUAGGGAGUUCAGGAUGGAAAUUGCUGGAUUCAUACAAAAACCCAGGAUGGUUUAGGUGAAGGAUGCUUUGAGGAGAUAAAACUGGAUAAAUCUUUUCAUUAAUGUGGUGCAUUUUGGAACAGAAAGAGCUUCUCUAAGGUAUGUUGACAUGGUCAAGGAUGUGUAUGAUCAAGUGGAGAUAUCACAUGCGAGCUUCCUAAUAUGUUUUCAAGAUGGCAGAAAUAAGUUGAUCUGCAAUUGUUACAGUUGACAAUCUUAAGCAACUGAUUUUGCAUAGCAUAUGGUUGUGUAGAACCAUUCAAGGUGCUUCUGCUUUUUGGCUGCAUUAUGAAAUGGAGUACUUAAGGAGUAUGACUUGUAACCUUUAUUUAUAGGUGGCUCAUUGUAAUCCUUUUUUGUUUUUUUUUUGCCCUUCUAUGGUGAUCCUUUGUUCUGGAAGCAUUUUGUAUAAUAAUGUUAGAUAUUAUAAUGACAGAACCUUUUCGUGUAGCAAA